CUUCCUCCUCGCCCCCACCCAGACCCAGAAGGCGGCACCAUGGCGGCGCCCCCGCAGCCCGUCACCCACCUCAUCUUUGACAUGGACGGACUUCUUCUGGAUACUGAACGGCUGUAUUCAGUGGUGUUUCAAGAAAUAUGUGAUCGCUAUGACAAGAAAUACAGCUGGGAUGUAAAGUCCCUGGUUAUGGGUAAGAAGGCAUUAGAGGCGGCACAGAUUAUAAUAGACGUCUUGCAGCUCCCGAUGUCCAAAGAGGAGCUGGUGGAAGAAAGCCGAACGAAGUUAAAGGAAGUGUUCCCCACGGCUGCGCUCAUGCCAGGGCAUCAGCUCUUCACACAGCAACAGCUUCCUGCAUGUGGCCCCUGACUGUCCAUUGAUGACCGAAGGCUCGUGGACUUGCCAAGUUGCCCACGUAAAACCCAGGGUUCAGAGAGCGAGACAAGUCCUUGCAUUGUGAAGUGCCAACAAUUCUAGUAUUCCAAAGCUCAGUGUUGUUCAGAACAUGGUACCCUUGUGAGAUCACGUGUGACAUUUGUGAAGAACCUGGAACUGAUGUUUCCUUAGGAAGCCUCGCAACAGUAAGUGCUUUCAGCUCGCUCAAGGAACUUCAAGUAGGCAAGAAAUAAGAAUGGAAACCCUGCAUUACUCCAUCAGAUCUUGAAAGUUUUCUCUUGGUUAAAUGUGCCUGUCAAUCACAUCGAAUCUUAUCCCCUGCCUCUGUGUGCUAUAUCACAACAGCGACGUCUGCUGGACCGUGUGUGCUCUCUGGGUACACAUUUUCCAGGAGGCAGCAUCUUAUUAGAGAGUAACAGGUCUGUCUUGUGUAAAGGAGAAUGCUAACCGCUUCAUGAGAAGGCUCCCCACCAUGAACUCGGAUAACCGGAUGCUAUUUUUUUAACUUAUUUAUUUUUUAAUUGACAAAUAGAAAUCGUAUAUAGUUAUCACACACAACGUGUUUUGAAGUGUGUAUACAUUGUGGAGUGGCUGCGUCAAGCUAAUGAACACAUGCAUCAUCUCACUUUCUCAUCAUGUUUUGUGGG
This 1040-nucleotide small RNA is filed under the name Pan troglodytes (chimpanzee). Its description in RNAcentral is "processed transcript". Lineage: Eukaryota; Metazoa; Chordata; Mammalia; Primates; Hominidae. The record is from RNAcentral.